GUCCUUUUGUUUAUUUAUUUAAGGUCUAACCUGCCCUAUGAUUUAUUAAAUGGCCGCGGUACACUAACCGUGCAAAGGUAGCAUAAUCACUUGUCUUUUAAUUGAAGGCUAGAAUGAAUGGUUGGACGAGAUAUAAACUUUCUUAAUUGUAUUUUGUAUAAUUUUAUUUUUUAGUCAAAAAGCUAAAAUUUUUUUAUAGGACGAGAAGACCCUAUAGAAUUUUAUGUUUAUUACUUUUUAAGUAUUUGGUUUAUUUUUACUUUUAGAUUAUAUACAUUUUGUUGGGGCGACAGGAAAAUUUAUUUAACUUUUUUUAUUUUAUUUCAUUAAUACAUGUUUUUGUGAUCCAUUUUUAGUGAUUAAAAGAUUAAAUUACCUUAGGGAUAACAGCGUUAUUCUUUUGGAGAGUUCUUAUCGAUAAAGGAGUUUGCGA
This 433-nucleotide ribosomal RNA is filed under the name Ranatra australis. RNAcentral describes it as "partial 16S ribosomal RNA". It matches the Rfam family "Bacterial large subunit ribosomal RNA", at positions 1829 to 2523 of the family's 2925-position model. The record is from RNAcentral. Lineage: Eukaryota; Metazoa; Arthropoda; Insecta; Hemiptera; Nepidae.